Molecule: ribosomal RNA, 392 nt
Filed under: Homarinus capensis (Cape lobster)
Lineage: Eukaryota; Metazoa; Arthropoda; Malacostraca; Decapoda; Nephropidae
Description: partial 12S ribosomal RNA
Source: RNAcentral
UUGAAUAUUAAUAGUUAUGUUCUUUAAAAUCAAAGAAUUUGGCGGUAUUUUAGUCUUGUUAGAGGAACCUGUUCUUUAAACGAUAAAACACGCAAUAUCUUACUUAUCUUUGUUAAAUAUACAGUUUGUAUACCGUCAUUAUUAAAUAAUUUUGAAAAAGUUAAUUAUUGGGGUUAAUAGUUUAAGUUAAAUAUAUUAGAUCAAGGUGCAGCUUAUAGAUAGGUAGUAAUGGGUUACAAUAAUAUUUAUUUAGAACGGACUAUAAACGGAAUCAUUUAUAGGUAAGGUGGAUGUAAUUGUAAAAAUAGUUUAAUAAGUUAUUUUGGUAUAAGCUCUAAAUUAUGUACAUAUCGCCCGUCACUUUCAUUUAAAAUGAAAUAAGUCGUAACAUA